Molecule: ribosomal RNA, 813 nt
Filed under: uncultured Gammaproteobacteria bacterium
Lineage: Bacteria; Pseudomonadati; Pseudomonadota; Gammaproteobacteria
Description: bacterial SSU rRNA
Rfam family: Bacterial small subunit ribosomal RNA
Source: RNAcentral
UCGAGCGGUAGGGAAGGAGCUUGCUUCUUCUUGAGAGCGGCGGACGGGUGAGUAAUGCCUAGGAAUCUGCCUGGUAGUGGGGGACAACGUUUCGAAAGGAACGCUAAUACCGCAUACGUCCUACGGGAGAAAGUGGGGGAUCUUCGGACCUCACGCUAUCAGAUGAGCCUAGGUCGGAUUAGCUUGUAGGUGAGGUAAUGGCUCACCUAGGCAACGAUCCGUAACUGGUCUGAGAGGAUGAUCAGUCACACUGGAACUGAGACACGGUCCAGACUCCUACGGGAGGCAGCAGUGGGGAAUAUUGGACAAUGGGCGAAAGCCUGAUCCAGCCAUGCCGCGUGUGUGAAGAAGGUCUUCGGAUUGUAAAGCACUUUAAGUUGGGAGGAAGGGUUGUAGCUUAAUACGCUGCAACUUUGACGUUACCAACAGAAUAAGCACCGGCUAACUCUGUGCCAGCAGCCGCGGUAAUACAGAGGGUGCAAGCGUUAAUCGGAAUUACUGGGCGUAAAGCGCGCGUAGGCGGCUUGAUAAGAUGGGUGUGAAAUCCCCGGGCUUAACCUGGGAACUGCAUCCAUAACUGUCUGGCUAGAGUACAGUAGAGGGUGGUGGAAUUUCCUGUGUAGCGGUGAAAUGCGUAGAUAUAGGAAGGAACACCAGUGGCGAAGGCGACCACCUGGACUGAUACUGACGCUGAGGUGCGAAGCGUGGGGAGCAAACAGGAUUAGAUACCCUGGUAGUCCACGCCGUAAACGAUGUCAACUAGCCGUUGGAAUCCUUGAGAUUUUAGUGGCGCAGCUAACGCACUAAGUUGAC